ACACAUGCAAGUCGAGCGGUAGAGAGAAGCUUGCUUCUCUUGAGAGCGGCGGACGGGUGAGUAAUGCCUAGGAAUCUGCCUGGUAGUGGGGGAUAACGCUCGGAAACGGACGCUAAUACCGCAUACGUCCUACGGGAGAAAGCAGGGGACCUUCGGGCCUUGCGCUAUCAGAUGAGCCUAGGUCGGAUUAGCUAGUUGGUGAGGUAAUGGCUCACCAAGGCGACGAUCCGUAACUGGUCUGAGAGGAUGAUCAGUCACACUGGAACUGAGACACGGUCCAGACUCCUACGGGAGGCAGCAGUGGGGAAUAUUGGACAAUGGGCGAAAGCCUGAUCCAGCCAUGCCGCGUGUGUGAAGAAGGUCUUCGGAUUGUAAAGCACUUUAAGUUGGGAGGAAGGGCAUUAACCUAAUACGUUGGUGUCUUGACGUUACCGACAGAAUAAGCACCGGCUAACUCUGUGCCAGCAGCCGCGGUAAUACAGAGGGUGCAAGCGUUAAUCGGAAUUACUGGGCGUAAAGCGCGCGUAGGUGGUUCGUUAAGUUGGAUGUGAAAUCCCCG
RNAcentral lists this ribosomal RNA (559 nucleotides) under Pseudomonas sp. LR58. RNAcentral describes it as "bacterial SSU rRNA". It matches the Rfam family "Bacterial small subunit ribosomal RNA", at positions 51 to 605 of the family's 1533-position model. Lineage: Bacteria; Pseudomonadati; Pseudomonadota; Gammaproteobacteria; Pseudomonadales; Pseudomonadaceae. The record is from RNAcentral.